ACCAAUCUGCUGCAUUUGUCAACAUUAAUGAAACAAUAAUUUGACUUCCCAAUACUGUAAGAUAUAUUUGUUCUAUCAUCUUUUUCAAAGUAUUCUAGCUAUCUCCAUUUCUAUUACUUCCGUAUGAUAUUAUCGUCGUGGCCAUAAAUGUUUUUAUUUAUUUCACCGAGACAACUCCAAUUUAUUUCAUUUAGUUGAUAUUAUAUUUUUCAGAAAAGCAAUUGAGUAAAUCUGGCACAUGUCUCUCCAUGUUUAUCAUCCAAAAUUAUUGUUUUCGUAGGCUAGUUUUGGUAUUUAUAGGCUACAACGACUUUUUGCUUCAUUCACAUGCCGAUAAUUUGAUUAUAGGAGUGUUUUGUUUGAAUAGAGAUGGAAUUUAAGUUAUAUAUACGGUCAAUUUAAAAGAUAAGUACCGUUUAGCUGCACAAGAUUCAUUCACACUCCGAUAAUAUGAUUAUCGGAGUGUUUUAUUUGAAUGGAGAUGGAUUUUAAGUUAUAUACACAAUCAAUUUAAGAGAUAUUAUACUAUUUACCUACACAAGAACUUGAAAAAAUAUCGCUUACAGUUUAAGUGUAUAAUAUUCGUGCCUUCAUUUGAGUUUGGGUAUUGAUGAAAUGGUCAUCCAACUUUUAGUUUAUUACAUCAAAGUUAUAAAACUACUUUUUGAAGCAGAAAAAUAACUCGCAACAUUAAAUUAAGAAAAAGUCAUAAAAUGCUAAAUUUGAUCCGAAGAAACAUAAGUAGGCUGCCAAAAUAUAUAAAAUUAUCAACUAUAGCCACAUAAUUAACCAACUCACCAUACUUUAACCCCAACUAUAAAAACAAUAAACUUGUUUAUUCCGACCCAACCUAGUACCCAAUGUCUUUCACAGUAUGGCACAAUCAUGGGUUUUUUAUAUUUUUUAAAAUUGGUCAUUUUUUAUUUCAGUCCACCUGGAUAUUGUGUAAAGAUGAGUUAAUGAAAUAGCAAUCUACUUUUAUUUCCAAGAUCGGAUUUAGCAUUUUCUUGCUAUUUUUUUAUUUUCUAUACUAUAUAGAUAUAGUUGUGUUUUGUCCGUUACCGAUAUUAGUUAGUAUGAUUUUGGUGCAUGCAAUAAAAAAAAUUGGUCGUCGCCUCAUGUGAAAUUAAUUCCUAAAAAAUUGAUCUCUUGUGACCACUUACGAUCUGAAUAGAAGAAAAUGACCUUUUCAAAUCUCUUAUUAUUAUUUUUAGAUCUUUUAUGUGUAAAAAUAAAGAUCUCUUGUAAAUAAGAUAUAAAGCUAAAAAUAAGUUUAUAAAGAACUUGUCUAACUAUUUGAAAAGACGGAUAACAAAAAGUAAGAUUUAUUUUAUCUUAAUCGAUAAAUUAAAUUUUUUUUGGCAGGAAAUCAAUUAAAAAAAAUGUCAGGCAAGCAAAACAUGGCGUUGUUGCAAAUUUGCACAUUUCUCUUAAUAUUAUUUCCUAAAGAAAUGGUAAAUUGUACAAUAUUAACACCUGAACAAAAGGAAAAAAUUUGUCAGCAAGAAUGUGUAGAUGAAUAUACGCAACUCUAUUGGGUGGGUCUUACUGCAGAAAAGGAGAAAGAAUAUGCAGAAGCUUGUAAAAGAGGUGAAAGAUUAUCUCCAUGUCCGCUGGAUCUCAAAGAACCCAACCUUCCGAUUUGGACGCGGCCCGUGGAGCAGUUACAUCCCCGAAAAUUUCAUUAACUUUUAUAGUCAGACCUCUCUAUAACAGUCAUUCAUUAUAAAAGUUAAGUUUUUCUCGAAAUCGAUUUUUAUGGUAUAUUAUAAUAUAUGUUCUAUACAACAGUACUUUACUAUAUCGGACGUUAUAAAGAAAUUUGACUGUAUAUGUUUUAAUAUAUUGAGAGGCUUCAUUUAAUUAUCACAAAGUUGGUUCGUAUGGACUUUUG
RNAcentral lists this long non-coding RNA (1894 nucleotides) under Nicotiana tabacum (common tobacco). RNAcentral describes it as "long non-coding RNA (NTAB_LNC016797)". Lineage: Eukaryota; Viridiplantae; Streptophyta; Magnoliopsida; Solanales; Solanaceae. The record is from RNAcentral.